This 2152-nucleotide ribosomal RNA is filed under the name Calliphora stygia. RNAcentral's name for it is "eukaryotic LSU rRNA". It matches the Rfam family "Eukaryotic large subunit ribosomal RNA", at positions 37 to 1893 of the family's 3401-position model. The record is from RNAcentral. Lineage: Eukaryota; Metazoa; Arthropoda; Insecta; Diptera; Calliphoridae.
AGCAUAUUAAUGAGGGGAGGAAAAGAAACUAACAAGGAUUUUCUUAGUAGCGGCGAGCGAAAAGAAAAUAGUUCAGCACUAAGUCACUUUGUCUUUAUGGCAAAUGUGAGAUGCAGUGUAUGGAAUGUCAAAUUUCUAGUAUGAGAAAUUAACGAUUUAAGUCCUUCUUAAAUGAGGCCAUUUACCCAAAGAGGGUGCCAGGCCCGUAUAACGUUAAUGAUUACUAGAUGGCAUUUCCAAAGAGUCGUGUUGCUUGAUAGUGCAGCACUAAGUGGGUGGUAAACUCCAUCUAAAACUAAAUAUAACCAUGAGACCGAUAGUAAACAAGUACCGUGAGGGAAAGUUGAAAAGAACUCUGAAUAGAGAGUUAAAUAGUACGUGAAACUGCUUAGAGGUUAAGCCCGAUGAACCUGAAUAUCCGUUAUGGAAAAUUCAUCAUUAUGAUUUUAAUAUUUAUAAUAUUAUAAUAAUGGUGUGCAUUUUUUCUAUAAAGGACAUUGUAAUCUAUUAACAUAAAUAUAUUUAUCAUAAGAUCAUUUGCGUAAGUUUAUUCAAAUUAUUUUGCUUGCAUUCUAAUAUCGAAUAAAUGCUUUUGAUUUGAUAAAGUGUUGAUAGAUUUAUUAUAUAUAGUGCUUAAAUAUUUAUAUUUUAUAAUAACAUAUUGAUCAUUGAUUUUUAUGUUUAUUAUAUGCACUUAUAUGAUUAACAAUGCGAAAGAUUCAGGAUACCUUCGGGACCCGUCUUGAAACACGGACCAAGGAGUCUAACAUAUUUGCAAGUUAUUGGGAAUAAAAACCUAAUAGCGUAAUUAACAUAACUUAAUUAAUGGGAUUAGUUUUUAGCCUAUUUAUAGUCUAUUAAUUCAAUCCCGGGGCGUUCUAUACAGUUAUGUAUAAUAAUAUUUAUAUUAUUUAUACCUCUAACUAGAGCGUACCUUGAGCAUAUAUGCUGUGACCCGAAAGAUGGUGAACUAUACUUGAUCAGGUUGAAGUCAGGGGAAACCCUGAUGGAAGACCGAAACAGUUCUGACGUGCAAAUCGAUUGUCAGAAUUGAGUAUAGGGGCGAAAGACCAAUCGAACCAUCUAGUAGCUGGUUCCCUCCGAAGUUUCCCUCAGGAUAGCUGGUGCAUUUAAAAAUUAUGUAAAAUAAUCUUAUCUGGUAAAGCGAAUGAUUAGAGGCCUUAGGGUCGAAACGAUCUUAACCUAUUCUCAAACUUUAAAUGGGUAAGAACCUCACCUUUCUUGGUAUGAAGGUUGUGGUUGUGAUAUAAUGUGCCCAGUGGGCCACUUUUGGUAAGCAGAACUGGCGCUGUGGGAUGAACCAAACGUAAUGUUACGGUGCCCAAAUUAACAACUCAUGCAGAUACCAUGAAAGGCGUUGGUUGCUUAAAACAGCAGGACGGUGGACAUGGAAGUCGUAAUCCGCUAAGGAGUGUGUAACAACUCACCUGCCGAAGCAACUAGCCCUUAAAAUGGAUGGCGCUUAAGUUGUAUACCUAUACAUUACCGCUAAAGUAGAUGGUUUAUGUUCAAUUUCGGUUGGAUUAUAAACUUUGAAACUUUAGUGAGUAGGAGGGUACAAUGGUGAGCAUAGAAGUGUUUGGCGUAAGCCUGCAUGGAGCUGCCAUUGGUACAGAUCUUGGUGGUAGUAGCAAAUAAUCGAAUGAGACCUUGGAGGACUGAAGUGGAGAAGGGUUUCGUGUGAACAGUGGUUGAUCACGAGUUAGUCGGUCCUAAGUUCAAGGCGAAAGCCGAAAAUUUUCAAGUUAUAAUGAAAAGUAAGUAAAAUUGCUUAGUAAUUAAACACUUGAAUAAUUUUGAACGAAAGGGAAUACGGUUCCAAUUCCGUAACCUGUUGAGUAUCCGUUUGUUAUUAAAUAUGGGCCUUGUGCUCAUCCUGGCAACAGGAACGACCAUAAAGAAGCCGUCGAGAGGUAUCGGAAGAGUUUUCUUUUCUGUUUUAUAGUCGUACUACCAUGGAAGUCUUUCGAAGAGAGAUAUGGUAGAUGGACUAGAAGAGCAUGACAUUUACUGUUGUGUCGAUAUUUUCUCCUCGGACCUUGAAAAUUUAUGGUGGGGUCACGCAAACUUCUCAACAGGCCGUACCAAUAUCCGCAGCUGGUCUCCAAGGUGAAGAGUCUCUAGUCGAUAG